AUUCGAAUAUGCUGUCUUGUAAUUACACUAAUUCAUGGGUUUGGGAUGAAAUUGACAUUUUGAGGGUAGUAUCUCUUGUAGUAGUAAACUCAGCAUGUCAGAACUCACAGCUGAAUAUGCAAAACAGCAACAGUGCUGAACAAAAUCUGGGAUCUGUGGAACAGUCAGUUUCUUAAGAUGCAAAUGAUAGGACAAUUCUGGCUAACCAAACCAAAAGCAGAUUUCAACAGAGAGCUAAUCAGGAAGUCAUGGGAUAGAUGGGAGGCAGAAGGGACAAUACCAGACACAAGACAGGAAUGAGGUCAGUUCCUGGAGUACACAUAGCAAGAACCACUUCAGGAUCUUGUCUCGGUGCUGCUGUUCCAAUGUAUGCAUUCCAGUUUUUUCCCAACCUGUGUGUCUCUACUCAAGAUGAAGAGUUCCAAGCAGCUAGACUGCCUAAUGUGUUCUGUGCACUCAUAGAUCUAUGGAACCUUGAAAGUUUGCAAAGUAUAAAGUAAUACAGUUUGGAAAAAAAUAAAACAUUCCAGAAGUCUAGUUGUCUUACCUUGGGUCAUAUGUGGCUCCUUGGUUUCAAUGGGAUGAGAUAUAUUGAUUUACACCCCUAACAAGACUGCCCACAAAGGGUAAGAGGAAAUUGAGUGUUCCUAGGAAGGGAGAAUUGUUGCUGGCUGACCCCCCCACCAAAAAAAAA
Molecule: long non-coding RNA, 694 nt
Filed under: Marmota monax (woodchuck)
Lineage: Eukaryota; Metazoa; Chordata; Mammalia; Rodentia; Sciuridae
Source: RNAcentral